AUGCUAGCAUUGCUACAAGUAAUCACAGCGGAAAUGACUCAUUGGGGGCGAUGCCCACGACCCCACGUGUCCUGUAGGAACAGUAGGAGGAAAGUGUGUCGUGGAUUGAGCAGCACCGCCUCAUUUUGUGUCGACGGAGACGGUGGUCUUCAUGGAUGGUGUCGCCGCUCGGCUUGGUGGCUGGGAUCGGCAUCGGGCAUCGGCGGCGCCAAAGGUGGUUGCUGUCACUGGUGGGGAAACAAGAAACUCCGAUUAGCAAGUGAAGAACUAAAUGUAAUGGAGCUGAAGAGAAUGGGGGGGCAAAGUUCUAAAACGAUGAAGCAUCACACUUAUCCAGAGAUGAGACUGUUUGAUCAUGUUAUCUUCAAUUUUCCUCAUGCUUGA
Molecule: ribosomal RNA, 384 nt
Filed under: Triticum aestivum (bread wheat)
Lineage: Eukaryota; Viridiplantae; Streptophyta; Magnoliopsida; Poales; Poaceae
Description: partial small subunit ribosomal RNA
Source: RNAcentral